GAGUGAACGCUGGCGGUAGGCCUAACCCAUGCAAGUCGAACGGCAGCACAGUAAGAGCUUGCUCUUACGGGUGGCGAGUGGCGGACGGGUGAGGAAUACAUCGGAAUCUACUUUUUCGUGGGGGAUAACGUAGGGAAACUUACGCUAAUACCGCAUACGACCUACGGGUGAAAGCAGGGGAUCUUCGGACCUUGCGCGAUUGAAUGAGCCGAUGUCGGAUUAGCUAGUUGGCGGGGUAAAGGCCCACCAAGGCGACGAUCCGUAGCUGGUCUGAGAGGAUGAUCAGCCACACUGGAACUGGGACACGGUCCAGGCUCCUACGGGAGGCAGCAGUGGGGAAUAUUGGACAAUGGGCGCAAGCCUGAUCCAGCCAUACCGCGUGGGUGAAGAAGGCCUUCGGGUUGUAAAGCCCUUUUGUUGGGAAAGAAAAGCAGCAGGUUAAUACCCCGCUGUUCUGACGGUACCCAAAGAAUAAGCACCGGCUAACUUCGUG
RNAcentral lists this ribosomal RNA (493 nucleotides) under uncultured bacterium. Its description in RNAcentral is "partial 16S ribosomal RNA". It matches the Rfam family "Bacterial small subunit ribosomal RNA", at positions 27 to 507 of the family's 1533-position model. The record is from RNAcentral.